RNAcentral lists this ribosomal RNA (461 nucleotides) under uncultured Geobacillus sp. Its description in RNAcentral is "bacterial SSU rRNA". It matches the Rfam family "Bacterial small subunit ribosomal RNA", at positions 923 to 1382 of the family's 1533-position model. The record is from RNAcentral. Lineage: Bacteria; Bacillati; Bacillota; Bacilli; Caryophanales; Anoxybacillaceae.
GCACAAGCGGUGGAGCAUGUGGUUUAAUUCGAAGCAACGCGAAGAACCUUACCAGGUCUUGACAUCCCCUGACAACCCAAGAGAUUGGGCGUUCCCCUUCGGGGGACAGGGUGACAGGUGGUGCAUGGUUGUCGUCAGCUCGUGUCGUGAGAUGUUGGGGUUAAGUCCCGCAACGAGCGCAACCCUCGCCUCUAGUUGCCAGCAUUCGGUUGGGCACUCUAGAGGGACUGCCGGCGACAAGUCGGAGGAAGGUGGGGAUGACGUCAAAUCAUCAUGCCCCUUAUGACCUGGGCUACACACGUGCUACAAUGGGCGGUACAAAGGGCUGCGAACCCGCGAGGGGGAGCGAAUCCCAAAAAGCCGCUCUCAGUUCGGAUUGCAGGCUGCAACUCGCCUGCAUGAAGCCGGAAUCGCUAGUAAUCGCGGAUCAGAACGCCGCGGUGAAUACGUUCCCGGGCCUU